RNAcentral lists this ribosomal RNA (403 nucleotides) under Verrucomicrobiota bacterium. RNAcentral describes it as "Verrucomicrobia bacterium partial 16S ribosomal RNA". It matches the Rfam family "Bacterial small subunit ribosomal RNA", at positions 355 to 776 of the family's 1533-position model. Lineage: Bacteria; Pseudomonadati; Verrucomicrobiota. The record is from RNAcentral.
UGGGGAAUAUUGCACAAUGGGCGCAAGCCUGAUGCAGCAACGCCGCGUGAACGAUGAAGGUCUUCGGAUCGUCAAGUUCUGUUGCAGGGGAAGAUAAUGACUGUACCCUGUGAGGAAGCCCCGGCUAACUACGUGCCAGCAGCCGCGGUAAUACGUAGGGGGCUAGCGUUAUCCGGAUUUACUGGGCGUAAAGGGUGCGUAGGUGGUCUUUCAAGUCGGUGGUUAAAGGCUACGGCUCAACCGUAGGUAGCCUCCGAAACUGGAAGACUUGGGUGCAGGGGAGGAAAGUGGAAGUCCCGGUGUAGCGGUGAAAUGCGUAGAUAUUGGGGGGAACACCAGUAGCGAAGGCGGCUUUCUGGACAGCAAAUGACACUGAAGCACGAAAACGUGGGUAGCAAACGGG